CUGAACAAGCGGAUGAAUUCAAAGU
Molecule: small RNA, 25 nt
Filed under: Arabidopsis thaliana (thale cress)
Lineage: Eukaryota; Viridiplantae; Streptophyta; Magnoliopsida; Brassicales; Brassicaceae
Description: ATSL245860
Source: RNAcentral